This is a long non-coding RNA of Peromyscus eremicus (cactus mouse), 1157 nucleotides long. RefSeq lists it as uncharacterized. NCBI's taxonomy places the organism in Eukaryota, Metazoa, Chordata, Mammalia, Rodentia, Cricetidae. The record is from RefSeq and is a predicted model, not a curated record. The transcript has 3 exons.
UAAGAUUCUAAUAAGCAGUCAAACAGCCAAUUUUAAAAUUGUUUCAAGAAAAUGUUCCAUUUGCUUGAAAAUCCGAGUGGUGUUGGAAUCACAGGGAAGUACAGUGCUAUUCAUGGUUGGUUGAUUGGUUUCUUCUUUAGGUUGCUGCUGUUGAUCUUCUGGUUCCUGGAGUUGGAGAGCUCUUUGGAGGAAGCCUCAGGGAGGAAUGAUACCAUAUCCUAGAGCAGCGACUGGCCAGAUCUGGACUUACGAAAGCCUACCAGUGGUACCUGGACCUUCGUCGGUUUGGAUCUGUGCCACAUGGAGGCUUUGGGAUGGGAUUCGAACGCUACUUACAAUGCAUCCUAGGAGUUGACAAUAUCAAAGAUGUUAUCCCUUUUCCAAGAUUUACUCAUUCGUGUCUUUUGUAGCUGAAAGACUGUUUAAGGAAAGAACUGUGUGGCGAAGACUCUGCACAUGUAGAAGACUGGUGCUUGCAUUUUAGACAUGUGUAUUUCAGUGCACAGUUCUUGUGCCGUGAGGUUUAAUAGACGAAAAAUAGAAAUGGUUUUGAUUUUCUUAAAAAGUCAAAGGCUUUUCGUGGACAAAUAAACUCCCCCAAGAAGAAAUACUCAGAGCAACUGGACUUUCAAGUCUGUUACCUCAAUUAAGGGAAAUAAAGUAACUGGGCCUCUUGUCCAGCUGCGGGAGAAGCUGGUCCAGGGGAAUAUCUUGAGCCUGGGUGGCAUCUCAAAAAAGAAGAGAGGAAGACACUGAAGUGUAGGGCCUCCAAGUUCCUCUCGGACCCCAAGACAGUGGGGAUGUCUCACCUUGCUGUCUUUCAUCGGAAGCUCACUUCCCUUUGUAUUUCUUUAAAGCAACCAGUGGCCAAAAGUAAGAUGCUGCUGCCUCUCUCAUCCCUUGCCAUUUAAGCUGCAGUAAAUGCCAAUCUUGUUCCCAGUGCUUUACUCAACUUUAUUCAAGAAAAUAUUCCUUUUCGGGGUCUGAAUGGAUUAAUGAAGUUGCUGUUCUGAAUUGUAACAUUCUUCAUUAGCAGUGGAAAAAAAUCACAUUUAAUAACUAUUGAUCUUUAGUGAUAAAAGUUAAGGAGAGAUCAUUAAUUUAAACUCUUCAGUCACUCUUCUAGUUCAUUUAUAUUAUAUAUUUAUAAAUACUGU